This 464-nucleotide ribosomal RNA is filed under the name uncultured bacterium. RNAcentral describes it as "partial 16S ribosomal RNA". It matches the Rfam family "Bacterial small subunit ribosomal RNA", at positions 29 to 507 of the family's 1533-position model. The record is from RNAcentral.
ACGAACGCUGGCGGCGUGCUUCACCCAUGCAAGUCGAACGGAAAGGCCCUGCUUGCAGGGUACUCGAGUGGCGAACGGGUGAGUAACACGUGGGUGAUCUGCCCUGCACUUCGGGAUAAGCCUGGGAAACUGGGUCUAAUACCGGAUAGGAGCCAUUUUUGGUGUGUUGGUUGGAAAGGUUUUUCGGUGUAGGAUGAGCUCGCGGCCUAUCAGCUUGUUGGUGGGGUAAUGGCCUAACAAGGCGGCGACGGGUAGCCGGCCUGAGAGGGUGGACGGCCACAUUGGGACUGAGAUACGGCCCAGACUCCUACGGGAGGCAGGAGUGGGGAAUAUUGCAAAAUGGGCGCAAGCCUGAUGCAGCGAAGCCGCGUGGGGGAUGACGGCCUUCGGGUUGUAAACUCCUUUCGCUAGGGACGAAGCUUUUUGUGACGGUACCUAGAGAAGAAGCACCGGCUAACUACGUG